GGAUGUGAGGGUGGUAUGGCUGCAACAUCUGUCACCCCACUGAUCACCAGGGUUGAUUCGGCCGAUCUGGCUGGUGAGGCGGGUGUCCCCUUCCUCCCUCACAGUUCCAUGUGCGUCCCUCCCAAAGCUGCAUGCUUGGUCGAAGAACACAACCUUCCCCAAUAGAGGAGAGGACUGGUCUUCAGUUGGGGUGUAUGAGUAGCUGCACUCUGCUGCUAGAACCUUCAGACAGGCUCUCAAGGACUCAUGUGAUUAGAUUGGGCCUAUCCAGAUAGUCCAGGGUAAUUCCCCCAUCUCAAGAGCCAUACUUAGCGAAGUCCCUUUUACCAAGUAAAAUGACAUGUU
Mustela putorius furo (domestic ferret) is the source of this 345-nucleotide unclassified non-coding RNA. Its record names the gene 7SK. It matches the Rfam family "7SK RNA". Rfam says of the family: 7SK was discovered as an abundant small nuclear RNA in the mid-70s but a possible function has only recently been suggested. Two independent studies have found that 7SK RNA binds the CDK9/cyclin T complex (known as elongation factor P-TEFb). P-TEFb activates transcription by phosphorylating the C-terminal domain of RNA polymerase II. The record is from Ensembl. NCBI's taxonomy places the organism in Eukaryota, Metazoa, Chordata, Mammalia, Carnivora, Mustelidae.